UAAAGAAUUUCGGUAUGGGAUGGGGAUGCGUUCCAUUAGUUAGUUGGCGGGGUAACGGCCCACCAAGACAACGAUGGAUAGGGGUUCUGAGAGGAAGGUCCCCCACAUUGGAACUGAGACACGGUCCAAACUCCUACGGGAGGCAGCAGUGAGGAAUAUUGGUCAAUGGACGAGAGUCUGAACCAGCCAAGUAGCGUGAAGGAUGACUGCCCUAUGGGUUGUAAACUUCUUUUAUAUGGGAAUAAAAUGUUCCACGUGUGGGAUUUUGUAUGUACCAUAUGAAUAAGGAUCGGCUAACUCCGUGCCAGCAGCCGCGGUAAUACGGAGGAUCCGAGCGUUAUCCGGAUUUAUUGGGUUUAAAGGGAGCGUAGGUGGAUUGUUAAGUCAGUUGUGAAAGUUUGCGGCUCAACCGUAAAAUUGCAGUUGAAACUGGCAGUCUUGAGUACAGUAGAGGUGGGCGGAAUUCGUGGUGUAGCGGUGAAAUGCUUAGAUAUCACGAAGAACUCCGAUUGCGAAGGCAGCUCACUGGACUGCAACUGACACUGAGGCUCGAAAGUGUGGGUAUCAAACAGGAUUAGAUACCCUGGUAGUCCACACAGUAAACGAUGAAUACUCGCUGUUUGCGAUAU
Molecule: ribosomal RNA, 629 nt
Filed under: uncultured bacterium
Lineage: Bacteria
Description: bacterial SSU rRNA
Rfam family: Bacterial small subunit ribosomal RNA
Source: RNAcentral